AAAGGUUACUUAACGUGUAUGGUGGAUGCCUUGACUGAAAUAAGCGAUGAAGGACGCAGCUGGCUGCGAUAAUCUUCGGGGAGCUGUUAAGCAAGCUUUGAUCCGGAGGUUUCCGAAUGGGGCAACCCAACUGUGCGUAGCACAGGAAUUUUGAAUUCUGAAACUUUUUGAAACUUAAAACUAAGAAUCGAAAUUUCUGUGCUGCGUACAGUUAUCUUCGCGUGAAUUCAUAGCGUGAAGAGGCAUACCCUGGGAACUGAAACAUCUUAGUACCAGGAGGAAAAGAAAACAAUAGUGAUUCCGUAAGUAGUGGCGAGCGAACGCGGAAAAGCCUCCAGUCUUUAGCAGAAUUGUUAGCAAAAUGCUUUGGAAAGAGCAGCCAUAGCGGGUAAUAGCCCCGUAUGCGAAAACAAUUUUGUGGAACUAAGUCUGGGACAAGUAAGGCGGGACCGGAGAAAUCCUGUCUGAACAUGGGAGCACUACUCUCCCAAGGCUAAAUAUUAUUUCAGAUCGAUAGUGAACUAGUACCGUGAGGGAAAGGUGAAAAGCAUCCCGGUGAGGGAGGUGAAAUAGAACUGAAACCAUAUACUAACACAGAGUCAGAGCCGCCACACCUAAUGCCGUAACAAAUUUUUGCUGGCAAAUGAUUAUCAUGAUUCAUGAUUUUUGUUUGCUUAUAGUAAAUAAUUGUGGCAAUAGGUGUGGCGGUGAUGGCGUGCUUUUUGCAGAACGAGCCAACGAGUUAAUUUUAUGCGGCUUGCCUAAGGAGAAGGAACUCCAGAGGCACAGUGAAAGCGAGCCUGAAUAGGGCGACUUGUCGCAUGGAUUAGACCCGAAGCCGGACGAGCUACACAUGAGCAGGGUGAACCCUGGGUAAUACCAGGGGGAGGCCCGAACCCACGAGCCGUGCAACACUCGGGGAUGACUUGUGUGUAGGGGAGAAAUUCCAAUCGAGUUCGGCAAUAGCUGGUUCUCUCCGAAAUAGCUUGAGGGCUAGCGUCAUGACAUUGCAUCCAAGAGGUAGAGCUACUGGAUGAGAAUUCGCGGUUCGCCGUAGGGUUUUCAACCAAACUCCGAAUUCUUGCGAUGUUUACCAUGGCAGUCAGAAAUCCGGCGCUAAGGUCGGAUCUCAAAAGGGAAACAGCCCAGACCAUCAUCUAAGGUCCCUAAAUUUAUGCUAAGUGGAUAAGGAAGUGAAGUUUCUUAUACAUCUAGGAUGUUGGCUUAGAAGCAGCCACCCUUUAAAGAGUGCGUAACAGCUCACUAGACCAGAGACUUUGCGCCGAAAAUUCAACGGGGCUAAGCAUAAUACCGAAGAUAUGGAUUCACGAAUUCUACAAAAACCAUUUGCAUCAAAAAAAAUCUGAAUUUCCUUGAUGUGGCCAAGGUCACAUCGACAAAUUAUUUUCAGAUAAGCAUGAUGUAAAUAUAUGUGAAGUGGUUUUUGGUGAAUUCGUGAGUGGUAGGAGAGCGUUUUCUGUGCGCUGAAGCGUAAGGGGUGACCCGUCGUGGAGCGCAGAAAAGUGAGAAUGUUGGCAUGAGUAACCACAAUCCCGAUGAAACUUCGGGACACCGUAAGUCUAAGGUUUCCUGGGCAACGUUGAUCGCCCCAGGGUUAGUCGGUCCUAAGGCGAGGCUGAAAAGCGUAGUCGAUGGACAGCAGGUUAAUAUUCCUGCACUGCGGCAGUAUUCGAUGGAGUGACGUAUCUUAGUAUGUUUUGCGUCUUAUUGGAUUGACGUAGAGGUGUUGAGGGUGCAUGGCAGGCAAAUCCACCAUGCAUCAGCCCAAGGCAUUUCUGGAAGCUCCGAUUUAUCGGGGUGAACGAAACAAAGCAAGGUACCAGGAAAAGCUUCUAAGGUUAAUACUGCCGUAUCCGUACCGGAAACCGACACAGGUAGACAAGGCGAGUAGCCUAAGGUGAACGGGAGAACCUUCGUUAAGGAACUCGGCAAAAAAACUAGACGUAAGUUCGCGAGAUGUCUUCCCGGCCCCACUUUUAGUUCUUGUGGGAGUGAAGAGAUAGUGCGGUAAAAGCCAAAACAGACGUAGAACUGGCCUCAGUAGAAAUACUGGGAGAAUAAGUACAGAACGAUGAUGUUCUACGCUGAUUAGGCUUUCGUAUCCCUCUCCUCCUACCUUUAAAAUAAUGAGAAUUAAAAGUGGGGCUGGGCGCAGUGAAAAUUUCCCAAGCGACUGUUUAUCAAAAACACAACUCUCUGCUAAAGCGCAAGCUGAAGUAUAGGGGGUGACACCUGACCAGUGCUGGAACGUUAAUGGGGUUGGUGCAAGCUAAUCCUUGAAGCGCCAGUGAACGUCGGCGAUAACUAUAAUCGUCCUAAGGUAGCGAAAUUCCUUGUCAGGUAAAUUCUGACCCGCAUCAAAGGUGUAACGAUUUGGGAACUGUCUCAACGAAGGACCCGGUGAAAUCGCAAUGGCAGUGAAGAUGCUGCCGACCUACAGCAAGACGAAAAGACCCCGUGGAGCUUUACUACAACUUGGUAUUGGAUUGAGAUUUUGGUUGCCGAGAAUAGGUGGGAGACUUUGAAGUCCUGUUUCCGGAUGGGAUGGAGUCAACAGUGGAAUACCACUCUGCCAAAGUUUUAAUUCUAACCCUGAGCCGUUACGAGAACGGAAUUUAAAAAUAUAAAUUUAUUAAUUCCGGUUUCAUACCGGUUCGGGGACAGUGCCUGGUGGGUAGUUUGACUGGGGCGGUCGCCUCCUAAAUGGCAACGGAGGCGUUUACAAAGGUUGGUUAGGUCCGGAUGGAAAUCGGGCCGAUAGCGCAAAAGUACAAACCAGCUUUACUGCAAGACUCAUAAGUCGAUCAGUCACGAAAGUGGAAUUUAGUGAACCGACCGUAGCAUGUAGAUGCGCGGAAGAUCAUCAGACAAAAGUUACCCCGGGGAUAACAGGCUGAUCCUGCCCAAGAGUCCACAUCGACGGCAGGGUUUGGCACCUCGAUGUCGGCUCAUCGCAUCCUGGGGCUGGAGAAGGUCCCAAGGGUAUGGCUGUUCGCCAUUUAAAGCGGUACGCGAGCUGGGUUCAAACCGUCGUGAGACAGGUUGGUCUCUAUCUGCUGUAGGCGUGAAUGUUUGAGGGAACUCUUUCCUAGUACGAGAGGACCGGAAAGAACAAACCUAUGGUGUAUCGGCUGUUCCGCCAGGAGCAUUGCCGAGUAGCUACGUUUGGAAGAGAUAACCGCUGAAAGCAUCUAAGCGGGAAGCUCAUCCCAAGAUUAGACAUUAUCUUACACCAACUUCCUUUAUAAGUUGCUAAAAGUAAUCAAUAAUUAAGAAUUGUUUUGAUUGCUUGCGGGCAAUUUAUUGUAUUGGAAGUUGGUGUAA
RNAcentral lists this ribosomal RNA (3345 nucleotides) under activated sludge metagenome. Its description in RNAcentral is "bacterial LSU rRNA". It matches the Rfam family "Bacterial large subunit ribosomal RNA". The record is from RNAcentral.